This 95-nucleotide transfer RNA is filed under the name Microbacterium imperiale. RNAcentral's name for it is "tRNA-Ser". The record is from RNAcentral. Lineage: Bacteria; Bacillati; Actinomycetota; Actinomycetes; Micrococcales; Microbacteriaceae.
GCGGCGCUGGGCGGCAGCGGUCUCGCCGUCGCCCUGGAGCGGUGGCCGGACGCGAAUCGGUGGCCCGAACUGCUCGAUCGUGCCCGCGCGCUGCA